Molecule: small nuclear RNA, 117 nt
Organism: Suncus etruscus (white-toothed pygmy shrew)
Lineage: Eukaryota; Metazoa; Chordata; Mammalia; Eulipotyphla; Soricidae
Product: U5 spliceosomal RNA
Exons: 1
Source: RefSeq, a predicted model, not a curated record
CAACCCUGGUUUCUCUUCAGAUCGUAUAAAUCUUUCACCUUUUACUAAAGAUUUCUGUGGAGAGGAACAAAACUGAGUCUUUGGUUAAUUUUUUGAGGUCUCGUUAUCAACGAGACU